Molecule: ribosomal RNA, 232 nt
Filed under: uncultured bacterium
Lineage: Bacteria
Description: partial 16S ribosomal RNA
Rfam family: Bacterial small subunit ribosomal RNA
Source: RNAcentral
CGGACGGGUGAGUAACGCGUGGACGACGCGUCUCAAGGGAGGGACAUAGUAGAAGACUGCUAAUACCGCAUAAGCCCACGGCUCGGCAUCGAGCAGAGGGAAAAGGAGCAAUCCGCUUUGAGAUGGCCUCGCGUCCGAUUAGCUAGUUGGUGAGGUAACGGCCCACCAAGGCGACGAUCGGUAGCCGGACUGGGAGGUUGAACGGCCACAUUGGGACUGAGACACGGCCCAG